UAAGAGCUUUCAUGUUUUGG
This 20-nucleotide microRNA is filed under the name Corchorus capsularis. RNAcentral's name for it is "sRNA CCACVL1_08137". The record is from RNAcentral. Lineage: Eukaryota; Viridiplantae; Streptophyta; Magnoliopsida; Malvales; Malvaceae.